UACCGCCUUCUCGAUGGUCACGGUGGUCUGAGCCGUAAGGCCGUUCGUGCCCUCCUCGUCACGAUGUUUGAGACAUAGGAGUUGCUCGACUGACCACCCGAGCAGAGUCUACGAGCGACCCACUUGAAACAAGCACAGGGGCUCCCUAAAAGGUUAGGGGAGGUGGGCGCGCAGUUUUGGGAUCGGCGGUCGGGACGAGCAGGGCUCGGACACGGGUGAGGGGGAGUAAGAGGAAGGACGAGGGAGGUAGGGGGGUACAGCGGCGGGGAGAAGAGGGGCGAGCGGGGCCGGCGGAGAGGAGGGGGGACGCAGCAGCCGGGGAGGGAAGAGGAGGGAGGAGAUCGGAGGUCGGGACGAGCAGGGCUCGGACGCGGGUGAGGGGCAGCAAGAGGAGGGGCGAGGGAGGUAGGAGAGGGUACAGCGGCGUCAGAGAGGCGGAGGAGGAGGGCAGUGGUGCAGGAGGCGGUACCUCGGAGCGGCGGCGCACGCAGAGGGAAGAGGUGGUACGACGGGAAGGUGGAGCGGAAGGAGAGGAAAGGAGCUCUACGACGAUAGGACGAGCAGUGUAACUGACGGCCGUUACCCUCCUCUGGACCCCCUCGUCUCCUCCCACGACGCGACCGAAGAGAGGGGCGCGGUGGUGCGGCGAACAAGAAGGAGGAUUCCAGGUCUAGACUUCGCCCUCUCUGCGCGCGUUUCACCGUCUUCUCCCGACGUAGUCACCACCAGGCUCGCGACGACGGAGGCAGGGACCGAGGGGCUUGUUAGGAGUAGCGUACGUCGGCGGCUGACUCGAGGCGGAGGAGUUAGACGUAGGGAGAAGUAGCGCGUACCGUUGUCCCGCUCCCAACACUACCCUUGUGGUCCUACUGUCGCUCUUCACCUGGAGACUCGACCGACGGCCAGGAGAGUCCACUCUAGUUGAGGUAGGAGGUAUCGGAAGAGACGUGGAGGGUAGAGAGAGAGAUACGCGCGCACACACCCCGAACACAUCCGUCUUAUGUUACCUUACCAGAUUCUAAACGCUCAAAGCGGCUACGCCGGUACUGCCACUACGGUUUGAGGCUCCUCUAUGGUUUCCACAUGACCCUCCGCCACGAAGGAUCUUAGGGUUACGGAGGUGGAUAAUCGUUGGACGACAAUCGGGUUGUUUUGUCAUGGAGAGGGGGGGAGAGGGUGGAACCACUGGAGUAAAAUCAACAAAACUAUUAACCACCAAGUCGAAAGGGAGAAACU
This 1236-nucleotide ribosomal RNA is filed under the name Triticum aestivum (bread wheat). Its description in RNAcentral is "partial small subunit ribosomal RNA". The record is from RNAcentral. Lineage: Eukaryota; Viridiplantae; Streptophyta; Magnoliopsida; Poales; Poaceae.